CUUCUUGUGAAGGUGACCGAUCUUAGCUCUAGUGAUUCUCUGGUAUAUGGCAUACUCCUGGAUGAAAUGGGAAUAGAAAUUACCCGGAUGCGUCUGGCUCAGUCGUCACAAGGCAGAAAGAGGAAAGGAAUAGCAACAUUUAAUGUUCCUAAUAAGGCCUUUAAAAUAGCAAUAGAAGGCACAGAGAAAGGGAAUGUUUUCAGGCGUCAAUCAAAAGAACUCAUACAUCCAGCAUCUGUAUCCCUUCAAAUAAUUAAAAGUGACGGAAACCUGUAUAUUGAUAAAGACACGACCGUCAUCUGUAACAUCACAAAUAAAGGGUCUGCUGAUGAAACGUACCAGGUCCACUUUACUGACACUGCAGGAUUCACAGAUUCUACUGUACCUGCUACGGUUAGAGCUGGAAUGUCCAAAAUGGUUUCCUUGACAUUUCGUGGAAGAAGCACACAUAA
Molecule: long non-coding RNA, 452 nt
Organism: Mytilus californianus (California mussel)
Lineage: Eukaryota; Metazoa; Mollusca; Bivalvia; Mytilida; Mytilidae
Exons: 3
Source: RefSeq, a predicted model, not a curated record